RNAcentral lists this ribosomal RNA (506 nucleotides) under uncultured Polaromonas sp. RNAcentral's name for it is "bacterial SSU rRNA". It matches the Rfam family "Bacterial small subunit ribosomal RNA", at positions 892 to 1394 of the family's 1533-position model. The record is from RNAcentral. Lineage: Bacteria; Pseudomonadati; Pseudomonadota; Betaproteobacteria; Burkholderiales; Comamonadaceae.
GGUUGAAACUCAAAGGAAAUUGACCGGGGCCCCCGCACAAGCGUUGGAUGAUGUGGUUUAAUUCCAGGCAACGCGAAAAACCUUACCUACCUUUGACAUGUACGGAACUCGCCAGAGACGGCUUGGUGCUCGAAAGAGAGCGGUAACACAGGUGCUGCAUGGCUGUCGUCAGCUCGUGUCGUGAGAUGUUGGGUUAAGUCCCGCAACGAGCGCAACCCUUGUCAUUAGUUGCUACAUUUAGUUGGGCACUCUAAUGAGACUGCCGGUGACAAACCGGAGGAAGGUGGGGAUGACGUCAAGUCCUCAUGGCCCUUAUAGGUAGGGCUACACACGUCAUACAAUGGAUGGUACAAAGGGUCGCCAACCCGCGAGGGGGAGCCAAUCCCAUAAACGCCAUUCGUAGUCCGGAUCGCAGUCUGCAACUCGACUGCGUGAAGUCGGAAUCGCUAGUAAUCGUGGAUCAGAAUGUCACGGUGAAUACGUUCCCGGGUCUUGUACACACCGCC